GACGAACGCUGGCGGCGUGCCUAAUACAUGCAAGUCGAACGCUGAAGGAGGAGCUUGCUUCUCUGGAUGAGUUGCGAACGGGUGAGUAACGCGUAGGUAACCUGCCUGGUAGCGGGGGAUAACUAUUGGAAACGAUAGCUAAUACCGCAUAAGAGUAGAUGUUGCAUGACAUUUGCUUAAAAGGUGCAAUUGCAUCACUACCAGAUGGACCUGCGUUGUAUUAGCUAGUUGGUGGGGUAACGGCUUACCAAGGCGACGAUACAUAGCCGACCUGAGAGGGUGAUCGGCCACACUGGGACUGAGACACGGCCCAGACUCCUACGGGAGGCAGCAGUAGGGAAUCUUCGGCAAUGGACGGAAGUCUGACCGAGCAACGCCGCGGGAGUGAAGAAGGGUUUCGGAUCGUAAAGCUCUGUUGUAAGAGAAGAACGAGUGUGAGAGUGGAAAGUUCACACUGUGACGGUAUCUUACCAGAAAGGGACGGCUAACUACGUG
This 495-nucleotide ribosomal RNA is filed under the name uncultured bacterium. Its description in RNAcentral is "partial 16S ribosomal RNA". It matches the Rfam family "Bacterial small subunit ribosomal RNA", at positions 28 to 507 of the family's 1533-position model. The record is from RNAcentral.